GACGAACGCUGGCGGCGUGCUUAACACAUGCAAGUCGAACGAAGUGGCGAACGGGUGAGUAACGCGUAAUCAACCUGCCCUUCAGAGGGGGACAACAGUUGGAAACGACUGUUAAUACCGCAUACUGAAGGAGGGGCUUGUGUUUGAUUGGCUAGUCGGGGGGGUAACGGCCCACCAAGGCGAGGAUCAGUAGCCGGUCGGGGAGGAUGGACGGCCACAUUGGGACGGAGACACGGCCCAGACUCCUACGGGAGGCAGCAGUGGGGAAUCUUCCGCAAUGGACGAAAGUCUGACGGAGCAACGCCGCGUGAGUGAUGACGGCCUUCGGGUUGUAAAGCUCUGUUAAUCGGGACGCGGUACCGGAAUAGAAAGCCACGGCUAACUACGUGCCAGCAGCCGCGGUAAUAC
This 408-nucleotide ribosomal RNA is filed under the name uncultured bacterium. Its description in RNAcentral is "partial 16S ribosomal RNA". It matches the Rfam family "Bacterial small subunit ribosomal RNA", at positions 28 to 526 of the family's 1533-position model. The record is from RNAcentral.